Molecule: transfer RNA, 82 nt
Filed under: Candidula unifasciata
Lineage: Eukaryota; Metazoa; Mollusca; Gastropoda; Stylommatophora; Geomitridae
Also listed under: 1 other name
Rfam family: tRNA
About the family: Transfer RNA (tRNA) molecules are approximately 80 nucleotides in length. Their secondary structure includes four short double-helical elements and three loops (D, anti-codon, and T loops). Further hydrogen bonds mediate the characteristic L-shaped molecular structure. tRNAs have two regions of fundamental functional importance: the anti-codon, which is responsible for specific mRNA codon recognition, and the 3' end, to which the tRNAs corresponding amino acid is attached (by aminoacyl-tRNA synthetases). tRNAs cope with the degeneracy of the genetic code in two manners: having more than one tRNA (with a specific anti-codon) for a particular amino acid; and 'wobble' base-pairing, i.e. permitting non-standard base-pairing at the 3rd anti-codon position.
Source: Rfam by way of RNAcentral
GCUGCGAUGGCCGAGUGGUUAAGGCGUUGGACUUGAAAUCCAAUGGGUAUUACCCGCGCAGGUUCGAAUCCUGUUCGCAGCG